UUCCUACGGGAGGCAGCAGUGGGGAAUAUUGCACAAUGGGCGGAAGCCUGAUGCAGCAACGCCGCGUGCGGGAUGACCCUUCGGGUUGUAACCGCUUUCGCCUGUGACGAAGCGUGAGUGACGGUAAUGGGUAAAGAAGCACCGGCUAACUACGUGCCAGCAGCCGCGGUGAUACGUAGGGUGCGAGCGUUGUCCGGAUUUAUUGGGCGUAAAGGGCUCGUAGGUGGUUGAUCGCGUCGGAAGUGUAAUCUUGGGGCUUAACCCUGAGCGUGCUUUCGAUACGGGUUGACUUGAGGAAGGUAGGGGAGAAUGGAAUUCCUGGUGGAGCGGUGGAAUGCGCAGAUAUCAGGAGGAACACCAGUGGCGAAGGCGGUUCUCUGGGCCUUUCCUGACGCUGAGGAGCGAAAGCGUGGGGAGCGAACAGGCUUAGAUACCCUGGUAGUCCACGCUGUAAACGGUGGGUACUAGGUGUGGGGUCCAUUCCACGGGUUCCGUGCCGUAGCUAACGCUUUAAGUACCCCGCCUGGGGAGUACGGCCGCAAGGCUAAAACUCAAAGGAAUUGACGGGGCCCCGCACAAGCGGCGGAGCAUGCGGAUUAAUUCGAUCAACGUAGAACCUUACCUGGGUUUGACAUGGAUCGGAAAGCCGUAGAAAUACGGCCCUCCUUCGGGACUGGUGCACAGGUGGUGCAUGGCUGUCGUCAGCUCGUGUCUGAGAUGUUGGGUUAAGUCCCGCAACGAGCGCAACCCUUGUUCACUGUUGCCASCACGUUAUGGUGGGGACUCAGUGGAGACCGCCGGGGUCAACUCGGAGGAAGGUGGGGAUGACGUCAAGUCAUCAUGCCCCUUAUGUCCAGGGCUUCACGCAUGCUACAAUGGCUGGUACAGAGAGUGGCGAGCCUGUGAGGGUGAG
RNAcentral lists this ribosomal RNA (913 nucleotides) under uncultured bacterium. RNAcentral's name for it is "bacterial SSU rRNA". It matches the Rfam family "Bacterial small subunit ribosomal RNA", at positions 336 to 1267 of the family's 1533-position model. The record is from RNAcentral.